GACGAACGCUGGCGGCGUGCCUAAUACAUGCAAGUAGAACGCUGAAGGAGGAGCUUGCUUCUCCGGAUGAGUUGCGAACGGGUGAGUAACGCGUAGGUAACCUGCCUGGUAGCGGGGGAUAACUAUUGGAAACGAUAGCUAAUACCGCAUAAGAGUAGAUGUUGCAUGACAUUUGCUUAAAAGGUGCAAUUGCAUCACUACCAGAUGGACCUGCGUUGUAUUAGCUAGUUGGUGGGGUAACGGCUUACCAAGGCGACGAUACAUAGCCGACCUGAGAGGGUGAUCGGCCACACUGGGACUGAGACACGGCCCAGACUCCUACGGGAGGCAGCAGUAGGGAAUCUUCGGCAAUGGACGGAAGUCUGACCGAGCAACGCCGCGUGAGUGAAGAAGGGUUUCGGAUCGUAAAGCUCUGUUGUAAGAGAAGAACGAGUGUGAGAGUGGAAAGUUCACACUGUGACGGUAGCUUACCAGAAAGGGACGGCUAACUACGUG
RNAcentral lists this ribosomal RNA (495 nucleotides) under uncultured bacterium. RNAcentral's name for it is "partial 16S ribosomal RNA". It matches the Rfam family "Bacterial small subunit ribosomal RNA", at positions 28 to 507 of the family's 1533-position model. The record is from RNAcentral.